GAUGAACGCUGGCGGCGUGCUUAACACAUGCAAGUCGAACGGACAGGCCCUGCUUUUGUUGGUUUCUCGAUUGCCGAACGCGUGAGUAACACGUGAGUAACCUGCCCUUGACUUUGUGAUAACUUCAGGAAACUGGGGCUAAUACCCGAUAUGAUCUCCUGCUGCAUGUUGGUGGUUGGUAAGUUUCGGCGGUUGGGGAUGGACUCGCGGCUUAUCCGCUUGUUUGUGGGGUAGUGGCUUACCAAGGCUUUGACGGGUAGCCGGCCUGAGAGGGUUACCGGGCACAUGGCGACUGAGAGAGGGACCAGAAUGGUACGGGAGGCAGCAGUGGGGAACAUGGCACAACGAGGGGACGCGUGAGGUAGAAGUGCCGGGAGCGGGAUGAUGGGUUACGGGUGGUAAACAGAUGUCGAAUGAGACGAAGAGGGAGUGACGGUAAUGAGUAAAGAAGCAACGGCUAACUACGUG
RNAcentral lists this ribosomal RNA (468 nucleotides) under uncultured bacterium. RNAcentral's name for it is "partial 16S ribosomal RNA". It matches the Rfam family "Bacterial small subunit ribosomal RNA", at positions 28 to 507 of the family's 1533-position model. The record is from RNAcentral.